CCUCUCACUAAAAUAACCGGUUAAUUGCCCCAUAGUGCAACCAGAAAUUUUUGUUAAAUUUUUUAUGAAUUUCUUCUAUUGACAAUUCAAACCGAAACUCUUGAAUACAUUAGAUCGUUCACCUCUUCUUUACGCACAUCCUUAAGCAUUUGGCAAUGUAUACAUACUUCUGGCGUAAUUAAGAUAUUGCUCUUGUAGAGUUCACCGGUCAAAUAACUGAGACUAUUCCAAAACAAAAUUACAUGUACAUUUUCUGUUAAGCCUCCUGGAAAAGACUUUAACCAAUAUAUUCGGUAGCCGUAAAGUAUAAAUCGUGUAGAGCUACCAAAAAUUUCAAUGAACAUCUAUUAACAAAAUAAUUAAUUGUAUUAUUUGAUCAAUUUUAUUAAGUAAUUUUUAAAAUACUUAACCAUAUUUUACAGCUAAACAAUAUUUUUGUAAGUUGAUAAAUCUACAAUAGGAACAUUACUUUAUCCCUAAAAAAGUUACAUAUACUUGCAUGUAUAAAAAAGAUUUAUGUCCACGAAAUUCAUUGAAAGUUUCAGCACGUCGGAAAAGAUUCAAUUAUUACAACAAGCAGGGGAAAGAUACAUAAAUAACAUUAACUCCAUGAAUUGCAUCAAAUGUGGUGUACUUUUCUAAAAUUCAAUGAACAAAAAAUGAAUAAAAAGAGGGAGUUUUGGUAAUUAAUAGCAAAUAAUAUGCACAUUCCAACACAAGCACUCCAUUUGGGAACGGAUAGGAUCUCAAACGCUCAAUUUGCUCAUUACGGACGUAAUGCUCUAACAGUCGUGUAAUAAAACAGACGCUUGAGUCGUCAAGAUACCGUUUUAAGGGGUAUUCUAGUCUAGAAGCAUGAAUUUCAGGAAAUAUAAAAAAUUUCGAAAAUUAGCUGCUGAGAAAGUGGGGGAUCUCAAAAAAUGUGCACGUGACCAUAUGUACGAUUUCAACCCACUUAGCAAUCUGAAAAAAA
Molecule: long non-coding RNA, 973 nt
Organism: Bactrocera oleae (olive fruit fly)
Lineage: Eukaryota; Metazoa; Arthropoda; Insecta; Diptera; Tephritidae
Source: RefSeq, a predicted model, not a curated record